This is a long non-coding RNA of Pogoniulus pusillus (Red-fronted tinkerbird), 494 nucleotides long. RefSeq lists it as uncharacterized. The transcript has 4 exons. The record is from RefSeq and is a predicted model, not a curated record. NCBI's taxonomy places the organism in Eukaryota, Metazoa, Chordata, Aves, Piciformes, Lybiidae.
CAGGGGCUGGGAGCUGAGUGAAGCCGCCGGGAAGUCUAAGCCUACCCAGCUCCAGGGAUCUUCAGGGCUGGUUCUGUUCCCAGCAUGGGAAGGCAGGAAAAUGAAGGAGCCAUCAGCAAGCCCCAGGAGGGGUUUACAGCUCUCAGCACCCAAAAGAGUCUAAGCCUACCCAGCUCCAGGGAUCUUCAGUGCUGGUUCUGUUCCCAGCAUGGGAAGGCAGGAAAAUGAAGGAGCCAUCAGCAAGCCCCAGGAGGGGUUUACAGCUCUCAGCACCCAAAAGAGGCACAUAACACGAGUCUGGGUCACCACGGGGGAACUCUGCUGCUGCUCUUCAGCUCCAUCACCUCCCCUAAUGAUAAUUCAGCCGAACACCUCCUUGUACAACAGCUAAGAUGAUCAAACACUCUGCAGCAGGAUGAAGGCACCUCCUCUGAAGGACCUGGCUUCCCAAUUCCUUUUUAUCCUGGAGAUAAAAUAAAGAACCAUUUGCUCUG